RNAcentral lists this long non-coding RNA (1885 nucleotides) under Carica papaya (papaya). RNAcentral's name for it is "long non-coding RNA (CPAP_LNC003279)". The record is from RNAcentral. Lineage: Eukaryota; Viridiplantae; Streptophyta; Magnoliopsida; Brassicales; Caricaceae.
GGGAUUCGGCUCAACGAGAACCUAUGCCACGUGUUGGUGCCGGCAGUGGUGUAUGCAGUAGCGCGUGGCCAUUCGUGGGGCCGUGUUGCAAGUGGGGGGAGGUGUGCUACUAAUAAUAGUAACAUGUGUGACAAUGCGUGGCCUUUUCACUGGUGGGGGUGUGGUGCCUCCAAUGACACCGAAAAUCGCGUGUUGAAGGUAAAAUCAGUUUUUCCUUUUCAUUUUGUAUAAUUUCGAAAUUAUUAAUUUAUUAAUAAGUGUGUAUAUUGUUUGUGAACGAGGAAAAAAUUUGAGGGGUAAUUGGGAUUAGAAGAGGAUCAUAGAUUGAAUAAGAAAGGAUUCCCAAAACUUUCCCGAUAAAAUCAUAGGUAAAAAUUUGGUUAAUCUUGUACAGGGAAAUAACAUUGUGUGUAUAAAUUAUAAAUGAUUUGUAUAAUUAUAUAUACGUGUAAAUUAUGUGUGCAUGUUUUGUAUGAGUAAACGUACAUGGUGUAUGUGUGUGCAUUGGUUAUGAAUUGGUAAGAACACAAUUAAUAAAGAUAAAUAUGUGAAUAGCUAGGUAUAGUAUGUUGUGUGUAAUUGUCAAUACGUGUUUAAGUAUAGAUGUGUGUAUAUGUAUUGAUAGAGAUUGUGUGUGUGAAUAUAAAUAUAUAUUUGUGCGAGACAAGUAGUGAGUGUACAUGUCUAUAUUAUGGAAUAUGUGUGUAUGUAUAAGUAUGUUUAUAAGUAUAAUCGUGUGUGCAUGUCAUUGUUAAGAUUGUGCGUGUGUACAUGUUUUAUAUGUAUGUGUAUUAAAUUGUGGGUAGAAAUUAACCUUAAAUUAAUAUAAAAUUUAGAUUGUGAAAUAAGAAAUUGAAUGAGUUAAAAGGAUAUGGAAAACUAAUACAAAAAGAAAUAGAGAAGUAUAAGUUAGUUAAGUUAAGUAGAUUAAAUAAGCCACUAGGAAGAUAAGUAUAUGAAAUAGUUCUAAAAGUAGAGAAUUUAGGUAAAUUUGGAAAUAAAUCACGUAGCAAGUAGAUAGAAAAACAAGAGAAACUUUUAAUGAUAAAAUAAGAAAACUAUGAAGAACUAAUAAGACAUUUAAUUCGUUAGUCGUGAAUUGAGGAGGGGAGGCUGCAUUUGUGGCUAAAGUUCAGCGAGUUUGGUGAAUCUACAUAUGGAUAGUUAUGUUAAACUUAAUUUAGACAUAGAUAGGUAUUUGUGGCCAAUGUGAGAUUGUGUCUAUGUUAUCCAAUCGAAAGGGGAUCUUUUUCACCUCUCCCGACAGCGAUAUAAUGGUAUCGCAUGAUGGUAACUUAAAUAAGCUUUAAAAGACUUAAUAACAUGAAAUUAUAAAUAUACGUGGAGUGAUAUGUGUGGAUGAGAAAUCCAAAUUGAAUCCGAGUGGAGAGAUUUGUGUGUGUGAGUAAAUCAUUUUUACUUCGAGAAAGAUGUGAAUCCAUGUGUAUGUGUGUGCAAAUUUUGUAUAUGUAAGGCUUAUGUAAGAGAAAGAGUGAUAAGCAAAAGAAUGGAACUAAUAUUAACUAUGAACUGAAAAAAUAAAAGCGUGAUUUAAAAUAGGAACAGGAAUUAGAUAAGAAGAGAGAGGAUUAGAAAAUAUUUCGUGUGUUGAUUCAUUUUGUUAUGUAUUUUGAUUAUGAUGUUUUGCUUGAUAUUUUCUUGAUUAUAAAUAUUAUUAUAACUUAUAUUGCAUGAAUGUAUGUACAUAAGUUUCUGAAUCUUUUUUUCUAACUAAGCUCGUGAAGAUCACCCCAAUUGAACUCCAUUUCAGAUCAGAGAAAACAAUAGACAAAUUCAAGAUCAAGAGAAGAUUGUGAAGAAAUACUUAUUAGUUUCUAUUUUAGAUUUACAAUUAAUUUAGAUGCCUCAUGUAUCUGUAAACAAA